This 252-nucleotide ribosomal RNA is filed under the name uncultured bacterium. Its description in RNAcentral is "partial 16S ribosomal RNA". It matches the Rfam family "Bacterial small subunit ribosomal RNA", at positions 524 to 775 of the family's 1533-position model. The record is from RNAcentral.
UACAGAGGGUGCAAGCGUUGUUCGGAAUUAUUGGGCGUAAAGCGCGUGUAGGCGGUGGCGCAAGUCGGGUGUGAAAUCCCUCAGCUUAACUGAGGAAGUGCGCCCGAAACUGCGCCGCUCGAGUACCAGAGAGGAUGGCGGAAUUCCCCAAGUAGAGGUGAAAUUCGUAGAUAUGGGGAGGAACACCGGUGGCGAAGGCGGCCAUCUGGAUGGAUACUGACGCUGAGACGCGAAAGCGUGGGUAGCAAACAG